CGAGGGGCAGCGGGGCGGCAGGCUUGCCUGCCGCCGCCGGCGACCGGCGCACGGGUGAGUAACACGUAUGCAACCUGCCCGUGGCAGGGGGAUAAGCGGGGGAAACCCCGUCUAAUACCGCGUAACGCGGCCUAGGGACAUCCCAAGGCCGCCAAAGGGAGCAAUCCCGGCCACGGAUGGGCAUGCGGCGCAUUAGCUAGUCGGCGGGGUAACGGCCCACCGAGGCGACGAUGCGUAGGGGUUCUGAGAGGAAGGCCCCCCACACUGGUACUGAGACACGGACCAGACUCCUACGGGAGGCAGCAGUGAGGAAUAUUGGUCAAUGGGCGCGAGCCUGAACCAGCCAAGUCGCGUGAGGGAGGACGGCCCUACGGGUUGUAAACCUCUUUUGCCGGGGAGCAACGGGCGCCACGUGUGGCGCCACUGAGAGUACCCGGAGAAAAAGCAUCGGCUAACUCCGUGCCAGCAGCCGCGGUAAUACGGAGGAUGCGAGCGUUAUCCGGAUUUAUUGGGUUUAAAGGGUGCGUAGGCGGAUCGUUAAGUCAGUGGUCAAAUUGAGGGGCUCAACCCCUUCCCGCCAUUGAAACUGGCGAUCUUGAGUGGAAGAGAAGUAUGCGGAAUGCGUGGUGUAGCGGUGAAAUGCAUAGAUAUCACGCAGAACCCCGAUUGCGAAGGCAGCAUGCCGGCUUCCUACUGACGCUGAAGCACGAAAGCGUGGGGAUCGAACAGGAUUAGAUACCCUGGUAGUCCACGCGGUAAACGAUGAGCGCUAGGUGUCCGGGGGGAAUGGNCCCUGGGUGCCACAGCG
This 808-nucleotide ribosomal RNA is filed under the name uncultured bacterium. RNAcentral's name for it is "bacterial SSU rRNA". It matches the Rfam family "Bacterial small subunit ribosomal RNA", at positions 63 to 853 of the family's 1533-position model. The record is from RNAcentral.